CUAGGGUGAGGUAGUAAGUUGUAUCGUUGGGGGGUCGGGAUUGGAGCCCCGGUGUCGAGGUAACUAUACAACUUACUACUUUCCCUGG
Molecule: microRNA precursor, 88 nt
Organism: Alligator mississippiensis (American alligator)
Lineage: Eukaryota; Metazoa; Chordata; Crocodylia; Alligatoridae
Rfam family: let-7 microRNA precursor family
About the family: This family represents the microRNAs (miRNA) let-7 and mir-98. let-7 was identified from a study of developmental timing in C. elegans, and was later shown to be part of a much larger class of non-coding RNAs termed miRNAs. The extents of the hairpin precursors are not generally known and are estimated based on hairpin prediction. The products are thought to have regulatory roles through complementarity to mRNA.
Source: Rfam